UAAUACGGAGGGGGUUAGCGUUGUUCGGAUUUACUGGGCGUAAAGCGCGCGUAGGCGGAUCAGAAAGUUGGGGGUGAAAUCCCGGGGCUCAACCCCGGAAUUGCCUUCAAAACUCCUGGUCUUGAGUUCGAGAGAGGUGAGUGGAAUUCCGAGUGUAGAGGUGAAAUUCGUAGAUAUUCGGAGGAACACCAGUGGCGAAGGCGGCUCACUGGCUCGAUACUGACGCUGAGGUGCGAAAGCGUGGGGAGCAAACAGG
Molecule: ribosomal RNA, 256 nt
Filed under: uncultured bacterium
Lineage: Bacteria
Also listed under: 1 other name
Description: partial 16S ribosomal RNA
Rfam family: Bacterial small subunit ribosomal RNA
Source: RNAcentral